CACACUGAAGGUCUCCGGUUC
Molecule: non-coding RNA, 21 nt
Filed under: Arabidopsis thaliana (thale cress)
Lineage: Eukaryota; Viridiplantae; Streptophyta; Magnoliopsida; Brassicales; Brassicaceae
Source: RNAcentral